GUUAUAGGGUCAAGCGAACAAGUGCAUGUGGUGGAUGCCUUGGCGAUCACAGGCGAUGAAGGACGCGGUAGCCUGCGAAAAGCUACGGGAGCUGGCAAACGAGCUUUGAUCCGUAGAUGUCCGAAUGGGGAAACCCACUCCUUUUGGAGUAUCCAUGGCUGAAUACAUAGGUCAUGUGAGGCGAACGCGGUGAACUGAAACAUCUAAGUAACCGCAGGAAAAGAAAUCAACCGAGAUUCCCAAAGUAGUGGCGAGCGAAAUGGGAAGAGCCUGUACUCUUUAUCUGUAUUGUUAGUCGAACGCUCUGGAAAGUGCGGCCAUAGCAGGUGAUAGCCCUGUAGACGAAAACAGUAUGGAAGAACUAGGUGUACGACAAGUAGGGCGGGACACGUGAAAUCCUGUCUGAAGAUGGGGGGACCAUCCUCCAAGGCUAAAUACUCGUGAUCGACCGAUAGUGAACCAGUACCGUGAGGGAAAGGCGAAAAGAACCCCGGGAGGGGAGUGAAAUAGAUCCUGAAACCGCAUGCAUACAAACAGUCGGAGCCUCGUAAGGGGUGACGGCGUACCUUUUGUAUAAUGGGUCAGCGACUUACGUUCAGUAGCAAGCUUAACCGAAUAGGGCAGGCGUAGCGAAAGCGAGUCCGAAUAGGGCGUUCAGUUGCUGGGCGUAGACCCGAAACCAAGUGAUCUAUCCAUGGCCAGGAUGAAGGUGCGGUAACACGUACUGGAGGUCCGAACCCACUAACGUUGAAAAGUUAGGGGAUGAGCUGUGGAUAGGGGUGAAAGGCUAAACAAACUUGGAAAUAGCUGGUUCUCUCCGAAAACUAUUUAGGUAGUGCCUCGUGUCUCACCUUCGGGGGUAGAGCACUGUCAUGGUUGGGGGGUCUAUUGCAGAUUACCCCGCCAUAGCAAACUCCGAAUACCGAAGAGUGCAAUCACGGGAGACAGACAUCGGGUGCUAACGUCCGGUGUCAAGAGGGAAACAACCCAGACCGCCAGCUAAGGUCCCCAAAUAUGGCUAAGUGGGAAACGAAGUGGGAAGGCUAAAACAGUCAGGAGGUUGGCUUAGAAGCAGCCACCCUUUAAAGAAAGCGUAAUAGCUCACUGAUCGAGUCGUCCUGCGCGGAAGAUGUAACGGGGCUAAGCCAUAUACCGAAGCUGCGGAUGCGUGCUUUGCACGCAUGGUAGGAGAGCGUUCCGUAAGCCUGCGAAGGUGCGUUGAAAAGCGUGCUGGAGGUAUCGGAAGUGCGAAUGCUGACAUGAGUAGCGAUAAAGGGGGUGAAAGGCCCCCUCGCCGUAAGCCCAAGGUUUCCUACGCAACGUUCAUCGGCGUAGGGUGAGUCGGCCCCUAAGGCGAGGCAGAAAUGCGUAGCUGAUGGGAAGCAGGUCAAUAUUCCUGCACCAUUGUUAAAUGCGAUGGGGGGACGGAUCGCGGAAGGUUGUCCGGGUGUUGGAAGUCCCGGUCGCUGCAUUGGAGAAGGCGCUUAGGCAAAUCCGGGCGCGGAAUUCAAGGGUGUGGCGCGAGCUCCUUAGGGAGCGAAGCAAUUGGAAGUGGUUCCAAGAAAAGCCUCUAAGCUUCAGUUUAACGAUGACCGUACCGCAAACCGACACAGGUGGGCGAGAUGAGUAUUCUAAGGCGCUUGAGAGAACUCGGGAGAAGGAACUCGGCAAAUUGGUACCGUAACUUCGGGAUAAGGUACGCCCUGGUAGCUUGAUGCGCCUGCGCGCAAAGGGUGAAGGGGUUGCAAUAAACUGGUGGCUGCGACUGUUUAAUAAAAACACAGCACUCUGCAAACACGAAAGUGGACGUAUAGGGUGUGACGCCUGCCCGGUGCCGGAAGAUUAAAUGAUGGGGUGCAAGCUCUUGAUUGAAGUCCCGGUAAACGGCGGCCGUAACUAUAACGGUCCUAAGGUAGCGAAAUUCCUUGUCGGGUAAGUUCCGACCUGCACGAAUGGCGUAACGAUGGCCACACUGUCUCCUCCCGAGACUCAGCGAAGUUGAAGUGUUUGUGAUGAUGCAAUCUACCCGCGGCUAGACGGAAAGACCCCAUGAACCUUUACUGUAGCUUUGCAUUGGACUUUGAAC
Molecule: ribosomal RNA, 2086 nt
Rfam family: Bacterial large subunit ribosomal RNA